This is a long non-coding RNA of Siniperca chuatsi (mandarin fish), 3299 nucleotides long. RefSeq lists it as uncharacterized. The transcript has 2 exons. The record is from RefSeq and is a predicted model, not a curated record. Lineage: Eukaryota; Metazoa; Chordata; Actinopteri; Centrarchiformes; Sinipercidae.
GGAUGGGUUGUCCAUAGAAGCGGAUGAGAGAGGAUGCAGGUGGAGGUUUGUUGUGUUUCUCCUCACUUCUCCUCACAUGGGAGAGACGAUGCUGCACAAAGUUGUCGUAGUCCUCCAUCAAGUUGCAUCAGGAUACGAUAUUUGGUGAUUGGUUGGCUCCCGACCUCUAUUACUGGCACAGUGUCCACUACUUCAAUGCCACAUAGACAUAUGGUGAGCUUUGUUCAUUUUAAACUAAAUCUAGGACUUUCCCUUUCAAACAAGAGCUUGCAGUAAAGGUUUAAGAUCAAUGUAUGUUUAAAACGAGAGCAAGUCAGUGCACACCUUUUUCACAGCAGAUAUUUUAAGUUGCCGCAGCAGAAAAAGCACAGGUGAAACCAAUGACAUUAAUGAUGGCUCUGUUCCAGCAACUACUGCAAUGCAGCAAUUAACAAUGUUAUUAGUUUCACCUGUUUGUCUGCUGUGAAAAAGGUCUAUAUGGUGUCUUUCGUAUGAAUUGUGACACAUAUUUACAAAGAUUAAUAGGCAUGCAGUGCAUAUCAGAAAUAAAUAUUACAUUUUAAAAUGUUCUGUCCAUUCAGUAUUAUAUGGGCCUUUUUUCUAUACAUUUUCUAAUAUUUCUAAUAUUUGUAUUGCAGAGAUUUCUUGAAAAGAACACAAUAUGGCUAUGAUAAUGACAAUAAUUAAGAUCAACAACCUAAUUAUAUUAACUUGCUGACACACAAAACCUGUUCCAUUUCAAAACAUGUUUAUUGGUCAUAUACAAAAUAAAGUAAGCUGUUUAUCAACAAACAUACAGUAUAUACAUCAAUAAAUUAAAAGAUGCAUCAGACUGAUGAUGAAACAGUUAAUUUCAUGAUUACCAAUACCUUGUCAUCAUCACUUACGUAUCUACAAAUUGCAAAAAGAGUACAAUAAUUUAGUUGAAGAUAAAUACUUACAAAGACUGUCACACUUUAAGUAUUUCCCAUAGAAAGUACUGUCGUAGAAUAAUUUAUUACACCCCAUACAGAAAUAUUACAAAACACAUAAUUCUCUAUUACAAGGGCUUUUCUCAAUAGGCUACGCCAUACAAACUCACUACUUUUCUAUAGCUUCAAACUGACCAUUAUAUAUUAGAAACACAAAAAUAUCCCAGCGCCCGUGAGUAAUCUGGCCGAAUGCUCACCAGCAGACACAUGUGGUUGGAUGGGGAAAAAAUGUUAGCAGGAGUUAAAUUAGAGAGGGAGAUUUACAACAAAAAGAAACACAAGUUAACAUGAUAUGAUACCUAAACUCUGGGUAGGAAUUUUAUGUUAGAGGCUGAACAACUGAUAAGGGCAGGGGCAGCAGAGAGAGUAAGAGAGAGCAGCAGAAGGGGGUAACUGGGGAGGCAAAACAAACAUUAUUGAUGAACACACCAAACGAUCAAAGGAAUCCUUGGUUCAUUUACUCUUAUCGAUCAGCAUUGGAGGUGGGUGAAAGGGCUUUUAGAGUCUGGUGGCGUGAUUUACUAGACAAGAAAGCAACUGAAUGACUACAUACCGAUUGGCCGAGCAGCAAGAUAAGUAGUUAAUGAUUUGCAUCUUCUAGAAGAAUCGGAUGUUUUGAAGAAGGGCUUGGAAGCCUGCAGAGUUAACUCGCUGACACUUUAUAAAAAAAAAUAAAAUAAAAAAAAAGGGACAGGAUAAGUGGAGUGGGGAAUUGUUAAGAGUUUUAUCAGAUGUGUCUCCACCACUCCCUUCUGCCUCUGUAAAAUAUUUAUAGACGCGGUUUAGGAGCAGUUGCUUGGGUUUGUGAUGAAAUGUCUUUUCAUAAAAAGGAGGGUAUGACCCCUGUACAGACAGUGGAAAAUAAGGUCAGCGUGUUUUUCAAGCUCAUAAACUCUGUUAUGAAACCCUACCAAGCUGCCCUGUCUGACGAUAAUUACAGGUCACUGUUGUCGGCUGAUCAUGUCUGCUGAGUGAGAAUUAGGAUCAAACUUCUAAUGUUUCACCUCAUUUGUUUAGGGACCUAACACCCUGACCCAACACACUGCUUCACACUGAAGAAACACCCACACGAUAUUCAAGCCUGGAAGACACAAAUAAUGAUAUUCUUCAGUGCGACUGCGGGCCUUGCAUGACAGCUGCAGUAUACUGUAUUUUGCAUUUUGUCCUCUUCUUAAUCGGAAACGAAUCAAACGUAUUUGAUGAUUUUAUGUUUUCACAGUUAAUUGUUAAGUGACACUGAAAAAAGGAGCCAUAUUUAAACAGAGACAAAGUGACAUUGACAUUUAUAACCAAGUCUAAACUGCUCAGCACGCUUUAUCCUUGUCACAUCACACUGUACCUGCAAUUAUAAAACAGACAACUUGACACGACGACUACGUGGCAGGAGGUCUAAUUUUGCCCUACACAGUUUGCAUAAUUAGAGCCACGUCCACACGUUUAUGUUUACACAGUAUGCAUCCUUUUUAAACAAGGGGAGCAUAAAAAUACAGACAUGGUGGAGACAUAUUGUGUGACAGUGGCACAUACAGUACAUACAGUUUGACAAGCACCUGGAAGUUUCAUAUUUUGCUCUAACUUGACACAACCUCAUCUCAGCAAAAGUCGCGUUUCUUCCUAUUUUAUACCACCAUGAUCAUUCACACCACAUGACGUGCCAGCAAAACAAAAAAAACAUAAUUCAACGAGCAAAUGUAAAGACAGACAGGAAGCAACAGAGUGACAGGGAGAAAGAAUAUAUGAAAAAAAAACAGUAGAAAAUUGAAUAAUAGCAUUGUGACAUACAAAACAGGACACAUCUUUUUAAAGAAAUACAGAAAUAUACUGGGUGUGAUAUCUGUAUUUCCUUGUAACUGAAUACCAUGGAAUAUAUUCAUGCGGUAAGACAUUUAAAAAAAAAAUAAAUAAAUAAAUAAAGUAUCAGACAUUUUCAUUUGACAUUUGUAGUUCUCUGAUUUCACGGUUGACUGGACAUGCUGAUGGUUAUCAGUGUAAAGAAAAUGGAGAAAUAAUAUUUUAAAAUCUCAAACCCAUUUCCCUUCCAAUGUCUUUGCCCAUUGUUCACCUGCUUGAAUUAUAUUUUAUAUUAAUGUAGGGUACAGAUGAAGACAUACCUUACUAAUCUUAAUAACUGCACAGCAGUAGGCUAGCUAACCCCUUUUUCUUCACAGUGGAAAAGUAGCAGUUCAGGUAAAAGGCUGCAUGUAUGUACUGUUUUUUGUCAUUGUAAAUUGCUUCUAUUUCAGUAAAUCUCUUGAUUUAAAUCAGGUUUUCAUAGUUUAAAAAAACAGUUUGAGGCAAUUGUACUUUAUAAGGUAAACUUAACUCUUU